Rattus rattus (black rat) is the source of this 1243-nucleotide long non-coding RNA. RefSeq lists it as uncharacterized. The record is from RefSeq and is a predicted model, not a curated record. The transcript is spliced from 3 exons. Lineage: Eukaryota; Metazoa; Chordata; Mammalia; Rodentia; Muridae.
UAAUCCGUGCUUAUCCAUAACAAGGAACAGGUUCACAGAGACUCAGGAGUGCCACUUGGUCCUGACCUGGUACCGAAGCUGGAGCUCUCGCCACUCAGGUUUCGCUCUUCCUAAUGCUCUUUCUGGGGAAUGGUGCCAGGUGUGUUUUCUGAAACACCUGGCCAUUUCUUGGGGGCAGUGAAGUCACAAGACAGAGAGGAAUCAAGGCUUCAGUCACCUGCAGAAUGUCACUGUCUGGAAGCAGGAGCCAGGUUCCUGUAUGUCCCUGUGCUCCAGUAAAAGAAUCCAAACAGAAAUCUGGGAUGCGGAAGUAGCUGGAAAUGGCCGCCAGGGGGCGCGCAACAAGCCCGCAAGCAUCUUCCUUGCUGGAUCUGGACCAAGCUGCAGACAUGGGAAAGCACCGCACGUUGCCUUUCUGAGCCUGUGAAAGAGGCUAUUUGUAUCAGGCCGCUGGCAUCUCCCAUUAGCGUGGCCUGCCAGGCGCGACCCAGGCAACAGAAGGCACAACUAGACAGCUAGAUCUGACACGCCCCUCAAGGCUCCCGGACCACUCAGGAGCCAGACAGAAUGUCUGUAGCUACCUAUAGAGGACAAGCAGAAAGGAGUGACAGGUAGGCCCUGACCUCAGACCCCCGUGAAACCAUCUUGGCACCAUCGUCGAGGAUCCUAGGAUAACCAUCCAGGUAACAGAUUUUCGAUCAACCUUGGCCUGCAGAUCACCAGUCCUGUGAAACCAGUGAGCCCUGGACUUAGCGAAAACUGAUACAAACCAGAUACUUCUGCAAUACUCCAGGCUGCCCCAAAGCAGCCUGCACUUCCCAAGGUGGUCAGUGAGCCAGGUGUCCCCAGCAUGUUGCCGGAUCAGCCUUCCUGAGCCCACCCUCACCCGCAGCAACAACACCCUAAUUUCAACCAAGAAGCAGCUACAGAAGAGAUUACAUUACCCUUAUCAUUAACAGAUGGCUAGAGUGUCAGGUCCGAAGAAAACUCCAUUUCCCCAAACUCUUGUCAGUUAAAAGCCAGCGUUCCUCAGCAAUUUAUGAAGAGACUGUUUCCCUCUCCCAAAGGAGCCAUUUCUCUUACUGCUGGCAGAAGGGACGAAUGGCUGUCUGCGGUGCCUACUGGCAUCUAAAGUACAUGCUGGUCUUCAAGUUCCUCCAGGAUCAUAACUCCCUGUUGAAAAGCAGAAUUAUUGACACGUAUGGCAGCACACACCUUUAAUCAAACCAGCACACUGGAGGCG